GUGCUUGCUUUGGCAGCACAUAUACUAAAAUUGGAAUGAUACAGAGAAGAUUAACAUGGCCCCUGCGCAAGGGUGACACGCAAAUUUUGUGAAGCGUUCCAUAUUUUU
RNAcentral lists this small nuclear RNA (108 nucleotides) under Urocitellus parryii (Arctic ground squirrel). The record is from RNAcentral. Lineage: Eukaryota; Metazoa; Chordata; Mammalia; Rodentia; Sciuridae.